This is a long non-coding RNA of Macrobrachium nipponense, 1122 nucleotides long. RefSeq lists it as uncharacterized. The transcript is spliced from 3 exons. NCBI's taxonomy places the organism in Eukaryota, Metazoa, Arthropoda, Malacostraca, Decapoda, Palaemonidae. The record is from RefSeq and is a predicted model, not a curated record.
CAUCGUUCUGAGCUAUAUCUGCUUAGCAGGAGUUUGCCAAGUAACCUUUUUUUCCCUCACGAGUGGCGUAUAAUAAUUCAUCCUUAAUUUACCGUAUCGUAAUUUAUCGUGUUGUGAGGUUUUUACGAAAAAAUAAAAACCCUUUCAUCUGGCGACUAGACUACAGUUAGCGCUUGAGAUUUCCAUCGAUUGUCACUUCGUUGAUCAAGUUUUCAUCAAGGAUGUUUUUGCUACGAAUUUGACUUCGAGUACCUGUUCAAACGGCAAGGCUUCCCGCAUGAUAAAGCAUGUUCUCUUAAGCAGCAGGUAAGAUACGAGCGAAGUAGCUGCUAGUGGUACAGGUGGGCAGUUCGUGACUUGACGUCUGGAAAGCUUGGCCGUCUGUCUUAUUUCGGCAUUGUUUUGAAUUAUCGAUAAUUGCGACGCUGGUGGAGAUAGUCUUCGAAGUAGUGAGGUAUUGCCCUGACCUUGUAAUGGUUCGAGACGCAGCCACAAGAUUUUAGGAGCUGGGAUUGUGGACAUUUUAUGAAGAACUGGUAGUUUUUAUGCCCUUAUAACCGAAGAAGAUAGGGAGAGAAGAGUAGUUACUUUGACAGUUGAUUACCGUUGGUACAUAGGAUUUCUGCACGUGCUGCUGUUUUUUGUAACUGUCCCAUAUGUUUAAAGAGCUCUCAAAUAGAAAGGACCAUUUUUCGUAAUGUGGGAGAUACUGCAGUCUUCAUUGGAAGAUACUUGAAUGGAUCUACCCGAAAUUAAACUUACUUUUCAAGACUUAUAAUUCCUCAGCAAGAAGUGUAAGAGUAUCUGCAUGGUUUUGAGGUUAUCGAGAAUCCAGAACUUGCUAUUGUCACAUGUAUGUAUAACGUUAAAUAUUCAUGUGGUCAAUAAAGAUUAAAAACUAGAGAUUUUACUAAUGUUCAGUUUUUAUCAAUAUGCCUUUGUUGUACUGGGUUGUCCGUGGGACAUUAGAACGGAUAUGUUUUGUAUUGAGAACAUGAUGCUAGGAUAAGACCCGUGACUAUUGGAUUUCUGCUGUUAGCAGAUUAAAUUAGCUAUAUGGAAGUAUGGAAAUUUUGUCUUGGAUAUUUUUUGCUUAGAAUAAUGGGAAUAUCUGUUUACUUU